UCAGAUCCACUUAGUCAACUAUAUAGAGCGUACGGAUUAACCAUUCGCUAAAUAGAUUAGUCUUUUUUCGAACUCAAUUUUUGGGAAUAUUAUAUCUGUUUUCAUCUAAAUUACAACACCAUAUUUAAUAUGGAUUGUUGUAUUUAUUUUGAAUAAAUACGAUAUUUUGUCUUGUUAAAUUGACCAAGUUCAAAUAGUGAAGUUUUCGUUAAGCUAUUAAGAUACAAUACAAAUAAACAUUUAAACAGCAGUCAUGGAGAACUACGAAAGUGCAACUCAGAUAUCAGAAAUUCAAUCAUUUUACAAUGAUACAACAAUAUUUUUAACUGGUGCUACUGGAUUUAUGGGAAAUUUAAUACUGGAUAAAUUAAUAAGGACUUGUUCGGGAGUGAAAAGAAUUUAUAUUCUAAUCAGAGAGAAAAAGGGGAAAACUACAGAAGAAAGAUUUAAAGAACUCUUCGAUGAUCCCGUAUUUGAAUUAAUGAAAAAAGAAAAACCAAACUUUUUAGAAAAGAUUACUGCAGUUAUUGGUGAUUGUCUAUUGCCGAAUUUGGGAAUUGAAGAAAAAUAUAUUAAUAUUUUAAAAGACGAAGUAAACAUAGUUAUACACUCCGCUGCUACUGUACGAUUUGACGAACAAUUAAGAAUAGCUGUCAAUAUUAAUAUAAUUGCCUUACAAGAUAUACUGAAAAUAAGUCAAGAAAUUAAAAACUUGAAAGCUUUCGUUCACAUUUCAACUGCUUAUUCAAACUGUGCAGGAAGAGAAAUUGUGGACGAGGUAUUCUACAAACCACCUAUAUCUGGAGAAAAAUUAGCACAGGUCGUUAAUAAUCUGAACGACGAGUACAUCGCUAGAAUUACACCUUCGUUACUAGGAGAAUGGCCAAAUACAUAUGCGAUGACUAAAGCAAUUGCUGAAGGUGAAAUAGUGACUUAUGGCAAAGGGUUACCAAUUGGAGUUAUUAGACCGUCGAUGAUUAUUGCCACCGACAACGAGCCUGUUUCUGGAUGGAUCAACAAUUUCUAUGGACCAACAGGAGUUGUAGCAGCCACCGGCAUUGGUCUCAUGAGAUGCAUGUAUGCUGAUCCCGAUAAAACAGCCGAUAUCGUACCUGGAGAUUACGUCAGCAACGCCGUGUUAGCUUGUGCUUGGGAUAUUCACAAUCUAUGGAAAGAUAACACAUUUAACGACAUAAUGAAAACUGAUAGUUUAGACAAAGAAACGUUUGUGCCACCUAUUUACAAUUUCGUAUCAUCAAGUGUCAACCCAUUGACAUGGGGAGAAUUUUCAAUGUUGAAUAAAAAAUAUGGAUGUGAAGUGCCUUCUGUAAAAGCGAUUUCGCCAAUUUUGUUGAGAUUAUCUAAACACAAAUACGAAUACCAAAUUUUAUGUUUUAUUCUCCACAUUAUACCCGGAUUUAUAAUUGAUUCCUUAGCCAAACUUACCGGAAGGAAGCCUUUAUUAAUGGAAGGUUAUAGAAAAAUGCAUAAAUUUGCCAAUGUUAUAUCUUACUUCAGUUUAAAAUCAUGGACAUUCAACGAUAAUAACACGAGGACUUUGAUACAAAAGUUAUCCAAACUAGAUCAGACACUUUUCAGAUUCGAUUUAACCAAAUUGAGUUGGGAUGAAUAUUUCAAAAAACACGUAUUAGGUAUUCGAAUGUAUAUUAUAAAAGAUCCAUUGGAAACAUUAUCAGAAGGGAAAAAAAGGAAUCAAAAAUUAUGCAUAGCUUACUACACAUUAUUAUCCGUCUUAGCUGCUACAUUAUUAUUAAUAGUGUAUGGAAUUUUCAAUUUAUUUGUGUAACAAAAUUAGUGCAGUUUCAUGAAUCUCAUUUUCAUAUUGUACAGACAAAUCUUACACAUAUUCAUUAUUCGAUCUUUUACCUAGUUUUUAUAAUUUUACAACAUGAUUACAACUUACAAGAGAUACGCUGUUUAUAAGCAUGUAAACAUAAUACAACCAUUAAAGAUUCCUUAUUCCUAGUACCUAAUUUUGUAAUCGUGUAAGCCCCAAAUUACGUGUAACUCGUAAAUGAU
RNAcentral lists this unclassified non-coding RNA (2040 nucleotides) under Rhopalosiphum maidis (corn leaf aphid). RNAcentral describes it as "fatty acyl-CoA reductase wat-like, transcript variant X1". Lineage: Eukaryota; Metazoa; Arthropoda; Insecta; Hemiptera; Aphididae. The record is from RNAcentral.